This 302-nucleotide ribosomal RNA is filed under the name Pedicellaster hypernotius. Its description in RNAcentral is "partial 12S ribosomal RNA". The record is from RNAcentral. Lineage: Eukaryota; Metazoa; Echinodermata; Asteroidea; Forcipulatida; Pedicellasteridae.
UUUUUAAACCUUCCUGGAGGAGCUUGCUAUCUAACCGAUAAUCCUCGUUAUACCUCACCAACUUUUGUACACCAGCCUGUAUACCAUCGUCGUCAGUUUACCUUCUAAGAGCAGUAAACAAAAAGAACAAUAACUUCACAACGCCAGAUCGAGGUGCAGCUUAUAAGUUGGGGAUUAGUGAGCUACAAUAUUCUUCAAAUAAACCAAUUAUGGAUGUACCCUUUAAUAUUGGGCACAAAAACAGGAUUCAGAAGUAAUUACAAAGUAGAAAAUUAUAAUGAACACAAAGCUCUAAAAUACGU